Molecule: long non-coding RNA, 1039 nt
Organism: Manis javanica (Malayan pangolin)
Lineage: Eukaryota; Metazoa; Chordata; Mammalia; Pholidota; Manidae
Source: RefSeq, a predicted model, not a curated record
GGAACAUUUCACAAUGAGUGUCCUGACCAAGGCCAAGAAUGGAGGCGGGCAAUGGCAGAGGCCUACUCUGAGGCCUGGGCUAGGGCUGUCCUGUGCAUCAGGACGACUGACAGCAGAGCCGCAAGCACAGCUUAUCAAGCUGCCACAUAUGAGUUUCCUCCUGGAGGGGCAAGAUGGGGAGAGUGGCCAUCGCUGAACAGAGGCCAUCAGUUCCAUGUCCCUGGAGGGACUCAGUAUCAGCAAUAACCACAUGAGUGAGCCUGCCCCAGACCCUUCCUCAGUCAGCCUUAAGAAGGAAAUCUUCGACUCCAUUGAUAUCUGGCCUGCAGCUUAGGAGAGGUCUCCAGAGACCAUGCCUGGAGCCACAAGAACUAAGAGGGGAAGAAACUGAAGUCCAGCGAGAUUGAUGGUCCUGACCGAUCAUCUAAUUGGAACUGACAAGCCAGGCUUUGGACGUACACUUGUUGGGCUCUGAGGCCCCUGCUUUCUCCACUUCCAGGAUGUCUCUCCCUGAGACUUGCGCAGACAGGACAGCUCAUUCCCCCACCGGGACGAGGAGACGAGGGACUUCCACAGAAUGAGAAGUCUCCCCAUAACUGAAUUUUGUUGUUAUUACUCUACUGGAAAGAAGUUGUGCCAAGUUCCUUGUCUCAUCAUCUGGAAGUUCAACUUCUUACGGGUUCUACUAUUGAUUGGUAUUUGGGCUGCUUCCAGUUCGGCGCUAUUAUAAAAUAAUGCUUCUCUGGCCAGCCUUGCACAUAUCGCCUGAUGGACAGACGUACACCUUUCUGCUGAGAGCACACCUAGGAGUAACUUACUUGGCAACAGGGAGCCAAGCUUCUACCUUUAAUUGUUGAUAUUAUCAAAAUGCUUUUCAAUGAAAUUGUCCCUAUCACACUCCCAAUGUAGCCAAAUUUAUCAAUAUUUGCAUAGAUGGUUUUUUAGUGGAUUAAAAAUAUUUGAAAAUUAUAAGUAUUCAGUUGUGAACCCAAAUUUUGAAAGUGAUUAAAAGAAGACAAUAAAAAAAAUCUGUUCUAUU